This is a long non-coding RNA of Pogoniulus pusillus (Red-fronted tinkerbird), 1708 nucleotides long. RefSeq lists it as uncharacterized. The transcript is spliced from 3 exons. NCBI's taxonomy places the organism in Eukaryota, Metazoa, Chordata, Aves, Piciformes, Lybiidae. The record is from RefSeq and is a predicted model, not a curated record.
AUCAAGCAUGUCUGUGUUACACUUUGAGGUUGCUGUGCAGAGAUACUGCACAUUGGCUUUGAAAACUGUCUAUUCAAGUCGCUCACAUUGCCAGUUCUUUUAAUGAGUUUAUAGGAGUCUUUUAAUCACCUGCCACUGGGCAGAAGCAUAAGGGUCUAUUGUGUUUUGUCUGAUGAGAAAGAACACUCCAUUUUGACCCUAACAGAAUAAUUUUGAAUUAUGUUUGCAAGAGUGAAGGAUUUGAAAGGCAGAAGAAAAGUCAAAGCAAGGAAAAUAAUCCCACAUUCCUUAAAUUUUCUGACUCUCAGUCUGUUCUGCACAAGAAUUAGAAUGGACCUUUGCAAGCAAUUGCAGCUGUUUUCUAGGUUAUCUCUAACUGGACUAAGCUUUGCAGACUUCACAGUAAGCACAGGGACUUAGCUGCUCUUGAGUUGUUUUGUGACCACGUUAAGCAUCUGCUUAGUACAUCCUCAAGUAGUCACCUUUUCUAUCACUUCUGUCACACCUGCACACUUCCUUAUGUGCAGCCACAUUCCAGGUACUCCAAGUAACACAUAUGUACCCUACACAAAAUCAUCUGCUUCAGUCCCUUAUCCACACCAAUUCCUCUUCCAUGCUUUGUUGGACUGAAGGCAAUUACUGGACAGCCACCAGACAUUUCAGUGGAGUAUCCCCUGAUUUAAAGGAGGUGAGAGCUGAACGUGGUGAUUUCCUCCCUAGCUUCCACUAAACAACCACAUGGCAGUUCAGUAUCAUGCUGAUUCUACCAGGUAUGCCUGUCUGAAAACCCCAUGCUACUACUUAUUUCCAGACAGAGGAAAUUGUGGAAUUCAGUUACCACAAGUACAACUGUCAGUAUCAACAUGAAUCAGCCUGAGACUGAAGCUAUAAUUUGUGAUGUAAAAACUAGAUGUGGAAUUUCCAGAAGUGCAAACGAAUAAAUUACUUUACUGUAACUAUGAAGAAAUUAAACAAAUGUGGAAGUUAAAACUGUAAUCCUCUUCACUAUUGUAUAACUAUAUUCCUUCUUAAACAACAAAUAAAUGAUUAUACAAUGAAACACUGGAUCUGUUUCUCAGAGGACAGAAAAAAAUAAGAUCAAGCCAUGUAGUAAAGAAUUAUGCUGGCUUUGAAAAAACUUCACAUUUUAUUUUUUUUAUUCAUUUCCCAACUAGACUGGAGGCAUCUAUAAAUACUUCAGAAAACAGAGGUGGCUAUGGCAUAGUUGCAGCUGGCCAGGUCAACUCUCAGCUUAUGUGUAUUGGCUUUACACCUAUGAAAUCAGUGAAAAGCAGGUGAACUGGAUGUGGAGAGCCAUGAAAAUGCAAAAGUUUCAGUCUAAGAACAGAAUAAGAAUAACUGAAAUCACUCUUCUCAGUGAUGUCCAGUGAUAGAAUGAGGGGCAACGGGUGCAAGCUGAAGCAUUGGAGGUUCCACAUGAACAUGAGGAAAAGCUUAUGUGAGGGUGACAGCAUUGGAACAGGUUGCCCAGAGAGACCGUGAGGUCUCCUUCUCUGGAGACAUUCAGAACCUGCCUAGACACAUUUCCUGUGUGACCUGCUCUAGGUGAUCCUGCUCUGACAGGCCCUUGCACUAGAUGAUCUUUUGAGGUCCCAGCCUCUAACAUUCAGUGAUUCUGUGGUUCUGUGAUUUUCUGCAUAUUUGGGAUUUCUUGCAGUGAGUAUUAAAUAAAGAGUCUUGGCUGAAA